AUUGAACGCUGGCGGCAGGUCUAACACAUGCAAGUCGAACGGUAACAGGAAGCAGCUUGCUGCUUCGCUGACGAGUGGCGGACGGGUGAGUAAUGUCUGGGAAACUGCCUGAUGGAGGGGGAUAACUACUGGAAACGGUAGCUAAUACCGCAUAACGUCGCAAGACCAAAGAGGGGGACCUUAGGGCCUCUUGCCAUCGGAUGUGCCCAGAUGGGAUUAGCUAGUAGGUGGGGUAACGGCUCACCUAGGCGACGAUCCCUAGCUGGUCUGAGAGGAUGACCAGCCACACUGGAACUGACACACGGUCCAGACUCCUACGGGAGGCAGCAGUGGGGAAUAUUGCACAAUGGGCGCAAGCCUGAUGCAGCCAUGCCGCGUGUAUGAAGAAGGCCUUCGGGUUGUAAAGUACUUUCAGCGGGGAGGAAGGGAGUAAAGUUAAUACCUUUGCUCAUUGACGUUACCCGCAGAAGAAGCACCGGCUAACUCCGUG
Molecule: ribosomal RNA, 490 nt
Filed under: uncultured bacterium
Lineage: Bacteria
Description: partial 16S ribosomal RNA
Rfam family: Bacterial small subunit ribosomal RNA
Source: RNAcentral